This 460-nucleotide ribosomal RNA is filed under the name uncultured bacterium. RNAcentral's name for it is "partial 16S ribosomal RNA". It matches the Rfam family "Bacterial small subunit ribosomal RNA", at positions 338 to 795 of the family's 1533-position model. The record is from RNAcentral.
CCUACGGGCGGCAGCAGUGAGGAAUAUUGGUCAAUGGACGAGAGUCUGAACCAGCCAAGUAGCGUGAAGGAUGACUGCCCUAUGGGUUGUAAACUUCUUUUAUAUGGGAAUAAAAUGUUCCACGUGUGGGAUUUUGUAUGUACAAUAUGAAUAAGGAUAGGCUAACUCCGUGCCAGCAGCCGCGGUAAUACGGAGGAUCCGAGCGUUAUGCGGAUUUAUUGGGUUUAAAGGGAGCGUAGGUGGAUUGUUAAGUCAGUUGUGAAAGUUUGCGGCUCAACCGUAAAAUUGCAGUUGAAACUGGCAGUCUGGAGUACAGUAGAGGUGGGCGGAAUUCGUGGUGUAGCGGUGAAAUGCUUAGAUAUCACGAAGAACUCCGAUUGCGAAGGCAGCUCACUGGACUGCAACUGACGCUGAGGCUCGAAAGUGUGGGUAUCAAACAGGAUUAGAUACCCGGGUAGUC